RNAcentral lists this ribosomal RNA (253 nucleotides) under uncultured bacterium. RNAcentral's name for it is "partial 16S ribosomal RNA". It matches the Rfam family "Bacterial small subunit ribosomal RNA", at positions 524 to 776 of the family's 1533-position model. The record is from RNAcentral.
UACGUAGGCAGCGAGCGUUGUUCGGAAUUACUGGGCGUAAAGAGUGUGUAGGCGGUGCUCUAAGUUCGGUGUGAAAUCUCCUGGCUCAACUGGGAGGGUGCGCCGGAAACUGGAGUGCUUGAGCGUGGGAGAGGAAAGCGGAAUUCCUGGUGUAGCGGUGAAAUGCGUAGAUAUCAGGAGGAACGCCUGUGGUGUAGACGGCUUUCUGGACCAUAGCUGACGCUGAGACACGAAAGCGUGGGUAGCAAACAGG